Molecule: transfer RNA, 65 nt
Filed under: Hediste diversicolor
Lineage: Eukaryota; Metazoa; Annelida; Polychaeta; Phyllodocida; Nereididae
Description: tRNA-Phe
Source: RNAcentral
GCUCAAGUAGCUUAAAUUAAAGCAUUACAUUGAAGCCGUAAAUAUGACCAUUACAUCCGUGAGCA